AAGAAGAAAAAGAAAGAAAGAAGGGAAGGGGACCCUUUAACAAUAAGUCAUCUUUACAGUAUCUAAUAAAUGUCCCCUGGGCUCUGGGAGCUGGAGAUGCCAUUUCCAUCCUCAGAAACUGAUCCCUGGUAAGGGAAACACAUCUGAGAUGUAAAACGGGAAGAGUGGAGGCGUGUCCACGGCUGUCACUGGGCCUAAAGAAGGUUUAAUGGAGACAAAAAAAAAAAAAAAAAAAAAAAUACAGAAAUCUCAAAGCCACCAGGAUCUCCGUUCCCAGGACAGUGGAUCUUAAACUUUAGUAAAUAAAACCGACUCAGUGGCGCUAAUGGUUUUGGGGAGCUGGUAGGACAAGGCUGCGAGUCUUUGAGGUGGAGCCACAGUUCUUUGCUUUGUUCAGCUUUCUGAGAGAGUCCAAGCUUCCGCAGCUCUUGGCAGCUCACAACUCGAAGGCUAGACAGACAGACAGCCGCGCUGCCUGCUUCCAUGAAGUGGGGCUCCAGUGGCCACUAGUGACCUUGUCAUCUCCAGAUCUUGCUCCAUCCUCGUUGCAUCAAGACAUGUUCCUCUUACACUGAACUCAAGACGCGCUGCUUCCCUUGGGAUGUGAGCAGUCCAACCCUCGCAUCAUUUCUUAGCAUGUGUUGCUUGCGGCUGCUAAGCCCCGCCCCACCGUUUCUAAGAGAAAGUAGCUGUAAGCUUCUCCCUAUCCCCAGAGACCACAGUUUAGGGAGUCUGCAGCCUGCUCCUCUACACUGCCUGAGACAAGAAGAGCAUCCUACGGUUCUGCUCCGCCAGCUUUGGCCUCCUCAUCCCUCUCGCAAGCAGGGUGGCUUUUGGACCAGUUUAUCAUCUUUUAGUCCAUGUUGGUUUUGAAGAGCAUUUUUUAAAAAAUGGUUUUUUUUUUUUCCUUAAGAUUGUGCAAAGUACCCACUGGGCCCAGGCCUGUCUUGCCUACACAGGGUGGACCAUGGCAGCUCUGUCUCUGCCCUCCCACUGCUCUUGAUUGAUAGCUAGAGAUGACUGUGGGUCGUCUUUCCUGUCUCCACAUGGAACCCAGAAACCCAGUAGUAAAAGCAUCAUGCACCCAGUGACGGGACCAUCAAUCCUCUUCCUUGGGCGCUGUCAGAGGCCAGGAGGCAGGAAGUACAGCAGGCCCACGGGAGGAGAGGCAAGCUCUGACAUAGGAUGACUGUCCCUUAAACAGGCUGUCCCUCCAUGAGGGGAGAAGAGGAAAGAGGACAGCCAGCGACAGACUAUAGAAGACCUGGAGGAAGCAUGGGACUACUGUGGAUCUGGAAUAUUCUCCAAAGGCCCGUGUAUUUAAAGACUUGGUUUCCAGCUUGGUGCUUUGAGGUAGAGUGGACACUGAAAGAGGCAGAGGGAAGUCUUUGAGGUACCAGAAACAAGUCCUUGAAGGGGAGGGUGGGACCCUAACCUUGCUCUUUUGUGUUUCCCUACCUGGCCAUUUAAUGAGCUGUUUUCUCUGCUCUGUGCACCCUGACAUUGCUAUAUGGGACUCCCACCAAAGACCUAAAAGUAAUGGGUCUAACUGACCACAGGCUAUAUAUAUCCCUAAACCGGAGUCCAAAAUAAACCUUUCUUCUUCAUAAGAUAAUCA
Molecule: long non-coding RNA, 1618 nt
Organism: Mus spicilegus (steppe mouse)
Lineage: Eukaryota; Metazoa; Chordata; Mammalia; Rodentia; Muridae
Source: Ensembl